This 418-nucleotide ribosomal RNA is filed under the name uncultured bacterium. RNAcentral describes it as "bacterial SSU rRNA". It matches the Rfam family "Bacterial small subunit ribosomal RNA", at positions 27 to 439 of the family's 1533-position model. The record is from RNAcentral.
GAGCGAACGUUAGCGGCGGGCCUAACACAUGCAAGUCGAACGGGCUGUAGCAAUACAGUCAGUGGCGCACGGGUGAGUAACGCGUAGAUAAUCUACCUUCCGGCGGGGGAUAACAUUCCGAAAGGAAUGCUAAUACCGCAUAAGACCACGGGGUCCUCGGGCCCUGAGGGAAAAGGUGGCCUCUCCUUGGAAGCCAUCACCGGAAGAUGAGUCUGCGUCCCAUCAGCUAGUUGGUAAGGUAAUGGCUUACCAAGGCGAAGACGGGUAGCUGGUCUGAGAGGAUGAUCAGCCACACUGGUACUGGAACACGGACCAGACUCCUACGGGAGGCAGCAGUGGGGAAUAUUGGGCAAUGGGCGAAAGCCUGACCCAGCCACGCCGCGUGAGUGAUGAAGCCUGGUGUAAGUACGUCUGUGGU